RNAcentral lists this small RNA (3264 nucleotides) under Rattus norvegicus (Norway rat). RNAcentral's name for it is "uncharacterized LOC108351545". The record is from RNAcentral. Lineage: Eukaryota; Metazoa; Chordata; Mammalia; Rodentia; Muridae.
ACAUUUAAGCACGGGGAUCUAUGUGAGGAAUGGAAAAGAGCAUCAUGCUGGGGUUUGGAGAUCUGGGCUCUUUUUGUUGUCCGCACAUCAGCCACCGUGUGAUUUUAUAUACUUCGAAUUUCUGGCUAUCAGUCCAUUCAUCUGUAUGAUCUGCGGGCUAACCCACGUCAUCACUUUCUAAUAGCUCACUUCGAUGGAUGUACACUAAUAUGCAGUAACUUAAAUUUAUUUGGGGAUUGGAUCAACUUUUUGUGUGUGGAGCAUCUCGCAAGGCUGGCGUGGUGCGGUGCAUGCUGGGAAACACUGCCUUACGUCAUCCCUCAGAAGCCCCUCGGAGCGCCGAUCUGCCUGCUGAGCCUGCGAGCAGUGCAACCUCAAGAGCAUUUCAUAACCUUGCUGCGCUUCAGUUCCGUGUUCACAAAACAAGGGUGAGUUGAAAAACUAUUUCAUUGGUCCGCUCCUCUAGAGGUGGCUGGAACCUACUGUCCCAGUAGUCAUGGAUAUGAAACAGAGAUGCCGCUGCGUAGAGUGGAAGCCAGCCUGGUCACGUGGAGAGGACUGACGGGGAACCCGUGUGAGCACCUGAGAGGUUGAACAAGAAGCCAGAAGAGAAAACUGAUCAGGAGCUGCCAAUUUUUUCCCUCUACUAGGACUGGUCCCUGUGAUACACACAGUGUGCGGAACACUCAGAUCCUGUACAGCAAUAUUAGAUUUGCUCAGAACUCCAGUUACAGCCUGUCACUGCAGAGAAGUCGAGGCAAAGCUUAAUGAUGUCAACUAGUCAAGAACUGAGAGAGAAAGUCAGGUGCGGUGGCACACGCCUUUAAUCCCAGAACUCAGGAGACAGAAGCAGGCCCAUCUCUGGGAGCUUGGGGCCAUCUUGAUCUACACAGUGAGUUCUAGGACAUAUAGAGGUAAUAGUGAGACCCUGUCCAAAAACCAAAACCAAAUGAACAUCCCAAAGCCGCAGAGAGUGAAGGCUUGCAAACUCAUCUCUCAACGAAUUUUCUCUACUCUUACACGUGGCAGGACCCCAACCCAGGGAGCAAUGCUGUCCUCAGUGGGAAAGUCUUCUCAUCUCAACUCCCAAGUUGAUCGUAAUCUCUUCGUAGAAAGCCUCCGUGUUCUCGUUUACUUCAAAUCCCUUCUUGGGUGUAAUUGGGAUCAUGAUUGACUUCGCCCACUGAAAGCAUUCAAUUAUAUGCUUGCUGAAGGAUUGGGGAAGAUCGUGUGGUUACUUCAACCCAAGCUCAGAAGGCAGCCGUCCUCAACGUAACUGCUGAGAAGCUAUUUGCCCUAUAAAGGAAUUCUAUAGGACAAAAAUGGCAUUCCCAAAUCGGAGAAAGACAUCUGAGUCCUCAGAAAGAAAACAACUUCUUCUUAGCACCGCAUUCAGAAAUAAAUUUCUGGUAAGUAUCUUAAUAGUUUAGGUACACCUAAAAGUUUAAAACACAAGGAUUUGAUGUCCUUGGGCAUGGAGGAAAAAGAGAGGAUAGAGUAGAAUAGGAUGCUCUUGUGUGAAAAAGACAUAACAGGAAAAGCUACAGGAAUCAAGGAAGGCUUGAAGAAAAUGUUCGUGAUAUGCAUAUGAUUACCAUUAGACACAUUUAAAUCACUAAUAUAUAAGAACCAAGUCGCUGAGGGUGUGAAAUGGCACUGCCACUGUAGAAAAUGGGGCGGGGACUGCUCAAGACAUUAACAUCAAACUUGCCAUGUGACCCAGGAGUCCCACUUCUAGGCAUGUAAGCAAGAGAAGGACAAGAGGUUCUUAAACACUCGACACCUGCGACCCACGGCAAUCGGGGCAUUCCUAAGUUGACUGCUUCUGGGGCACUGAAGGAAGCACAAGUGAAGACAGCACAACGCACACAUGCAGGACGCCGUUCAACCUUAAGGAAGGAAGUCUAAGCCCAGACUAAGGAUCCAGGUCCACCAUCCCAGCUGCUAGCAAGCUGAAGCAGGAGGAUCUCAAGUUCAAGACCUGCCUGCUUGACUCUUCACCCCCAAGAUGUGUUUCCCCUGACUCCCAUCUUCCCGGAGGUGAGCUCUUCUGCAUCGAAAUCUCUGAAGUGAUUAGUCAAAAUGAAUUUUCCCGGCUUUACAUGAUCUAUGUCUGUAUUUUGUCAAAGAAGCUAGCUGUGGUGCUGGAGGGAUGGCUUAGCAGUUAAGAACACGCACUGCUCUUCCAGGAUACAAGUUCCAGUCCCGGUACCCACACUACCUGGAAUUCCAGCUCUUGGGGAUCUCGAGUCCUCUUCUGGCCUUCAGGAGUGCUGCACUCAUGUGACAUACACUCACGCACAUACACACACCUAUUAAUAAAGUAAUAAAAACAAACCUUUAAAAAUAACCCUUAGCUAGCACAAGUGGCGUUCUGUUCAGUGUUCGUGAGGUCUCACAUCGAUUUUGUUCUAUACUGCAUGUGAGAACGCACUGUAAAAGGCUAAAGACCUACAUGGGAGGUAUUUAUAUCGAAACUAAGAAUGAGAAGUAGUCUAACCUGCUUUAAAAAAAAAACACAGUCAACUACUUUAAUAAAAUAAACUUUGAAAGCCUGCACAGAACAGAAUGUGCCCCGCCCUGGGUGGCUCUAUCUUGGAAACCUGGUUGGAGCCAAACAGGACUGAAGAAAUGACAGGCACGUGAGGACACACACAGAGAGGCUGGGCUUGGGUGGACUGCGCUUGCUCCGACAGAGGGCGCUGCUUCCGCACUAGGUAACUCAGGAAGUUCAUCUUCUACAGCUCAAGCAGGAAGGGUUAGAUAGUCUUGGUAGGAUGUCUCUGGAGGCGCCAGAGGAAGGCUUUGCCAAUUUCCAGAGGCUGACCUGGAAAAGUCUUUUCUAUUCUCCUGAGUCGGAGGCAUGGGAUGUGUCCUUGACUUGGCUCUGCCCACAUCUACAAUACAUGUUCUGUCAGGAUUUCAUCCGCUCCCCGCUCCCCGCUCCCCACAAGAAUGACUCUUCAUGCCACUCACAUGAGUUGGGUUUCAUUACUGUGACUAGAAAAACCAGAAGCAGUCAACUUAGAAUUACGGAAAACUAAUUUUGGCGCACAACCUUGGCAGUUUGGAGCUCUGAUCAGUUGGUCCCUUCCCUAUGUACCUGUGGCGAGAUGAUGCAUCGUGGCGGGACUGUGUGACCGAGAAAGAGGCUUACUUCGUGGCAUCUCAGAAGUGAAAAAGAAAGAAGCGGGGAAGGGGCUAAGGUCCCAUAUCCUCUUCGAGGGCAUACAUACUGCGGUGGUUUAAAUAUGCUUGGCCCAU